UGGGGAAUUUUGGACAAUGGGCGAAAGCCUGAUCCAGCCAUUCCGCGUGCAGGAUGAAGGCCCUCGGGUUGUAAACUGCUUUUGUACGGAACGAAAAGGUCUCUACUAAUACUAGGGGCUCAUGACGGUACCGUAAGAAUAAGCACCGGCUAACUACGUGCCAGCAGCCGCGGUAAUACGUAGGGUGCAAGCGUUAAUCGGAAUUACUGGGCGUAAAGCGUGCGCAGGCGGUUAUAUAAGACAGAUGUGAAAUCCCCGGGCUCAACCUGGGAACUGCAUUUGUGACUGUAUAGCUAGAGUACGGCAGAGGGGGAUGGAAUUCCGCGUGUAGCAGUGAAAUGCGUAGAUAUGCGGAGGAACACCGAUGGCGAAGGCAAUCCCCUGGGCCUGUACUGACGCUCAUGCACGAAAGCGUGGGGAGCAAACAGGAUUAGAUACCCUGGUAGUCCACGCCCUAAACGAUGUCAACUGGUUGUUGGGUCUUAACUGACUCAGUAACGAAGCUAACGCGUGAAGUUGACCGCCUGGGGAGUACGGCCGCAAGGUUG
This 548-nucleotide ribosomal RNA is filed under the name uncultured prokaryote. RNAcentral's name for it is "bacterial SSU rRNA". It matches the Rfam family "Bacterial small subunit ribosomal RNA", at positions 355 to 896 of the family's 1533-position model. The record is from RNAcentral.